This is a non-coding RNA of Benincasa hispida (wax gourd), 2433 nucleotides long. Lineage: Eukaryota; Viridiplantae; Streptophyta; Magnoliopsida; Cucurbitales; Cucurbitaceae. The record is from RefSeq and is a predicted model, not a curated record.
UCUAUAUUUACUGACAGUGGUUGUUAGUUACUGUUUAUUGUAUUCACACAACUAUAUAUAUGUGUCUCACUUUACUUCAUUAGGCCAAAUCCAUUCCAUCUACUUGCUUAAUGCAAUUGGUAUGUUAUUUCUCUUGUCUCCAACAUUUUCUUAUUCUGUGUUAUUUCUCUUCUUUGCAUCUUUUUAGUUUCUAUCGUUGGUUUACUACAUUCAUCUUGUUGGUUUCUCCAUUUAUUGGUACUGUUUAUUCCAUUCUUCUUGUUGGUUUCUAAUUUAUCAUAUUCAUGAUAUUAUUUGAAAUUCAAGUUUCAAUGAAUGAAUUUCAUAACUCUGAGGCUGGACCCUAUUCUAUUUUUUGUUUUUUUGUACUUUAUAAUUAUGCUCUCACUUGCCUUCAAGUAUAAGGACAAACACAUUCCAUAUACUUCAUAAAUGCAAAUGGUAUGCCUUCUCCCUCUUUAUCCAACAUUUUUUUUUAUUACGGUUGUUGACUAGUGUACUAAUGUUGUUUAUUGUAAUUUGUUUUAGGGUUGGUCUUAUAUGAAUCAGUCGGAUCAAACACUGUUUACCAACUUUCUCUUGCUAAGAAUUGUCUGGGUGCAUUAGAUGACACGUACAUCAAGGUAUGCAACUGAUCGCACAAGGUAUAGGAUGAGGAAGGGUGAAAUUGCAAUAGAUGUACUCCAUGUGUGUGAUACAAAUGGCAACUUUGUGUUUAUUUUAUCAAGGUGGAAAGGAUCCACAACUGAUUCUCGAGUUCUCAGAGAUGCAAUAUCACAACUUAACGGACUGAAGGUUUCAAAGGGUAACAGGGUAUAUUAUCUAUGUGAUGCCGGAUACCUAAAUGCGGAAGGUUUUUUUUGGCUCCAUAUAGAGGCGAAAUAUAUCAUCUUUCAGAGUAGCGUGGAGGAGGUAAUGCACCAACAACUCCACGAGAAUUUUUUAAUAUGAAGCAUUAUUCUGAACGAAAUUUCAUCGAGAGAAUGUUCGGGUUGUUGAAGGGAAGAUGGGCAAUCUUGCAAGGAAAAUCAUACUACCCAGUGUAAAUCCAAUGUCAAACCAUCAUGGCGUGUUGCCUUCUACACAAUCUUAUCAAUAGGGAGAUGACUAACAGUGAACUAAUCGAGGAUUUGGAUGAGGUGGAUUCAAGCUUUGCUACAACUGGAGGGGAUGAGAUAAAUUAUAUUUAGAGUUCAAAUGAAUGGACCCAAUGGAGGAUGAACUGACGCAAUAGAUGUUUACUGAAUGGGAGUAGCAUGUAGUGCCUUUAUACUUUUUGUUUAUUGUUGUGAAAUGAUUUCAUUAGGAACUCUCUAAUUAUGUUUACUAUAUUUUGUGCUUAACUUUACCCAUGAACUCUCUCAUUAGCUUUGCUACAAUUACUUGUCAUUUAUUGUUUAAUUGUAUUAAAAUAUGUACGUGUAUAGACUAGAAUGUCAAAUUCCUCAAGAGCCCCGAAGCACACUUGGACUAAAGAGGAAAAAGCGAAGCUAAUCAAGUGUUUGGUGGCAUUGGUCGCAUCUGGUGGAUGGAGAUCAGACAAUCGAAUGUUUCGACCUGGCUACUUGGCACAACUACAAGGUUUGAUGACUGAGAAUUUGCCCGACUGUAAUAUUCAAGGAUCACUAACUAUAGAUUGUCGAAUCAAAUCCCUAAAAAAACUUACCAAGCGAUCGUAGGAAUGAGAGGACCAACUUGUAGUGGAUUUGGCUAGAAUGAGGAAUUCCAAUGCAUCACUACAAAGCAGGAGUUAUUUGAUGGAUGGGUGAAAGUACAAUUUUGUCUAAAUUGAUUUACGAAUAUUGGUAACAAAAUCAUAACAUCCACUUUACCCUUCAUGUAGAGUCAUCCUACAGCAAAGGGGCUUCUACACAAGUCGUUCCCAUACUAUGAUGAUCUGGCCUACGUCUUUGGCAAUGAUCGGGCUACGGGAGGACAAUCAGAGACCUUUAUGGAUGUCGGGUCUAAUGUGCCAAACCUUAUGAAUGAUGGAGUUCCUAUUCAUGAAUCACAGGAUCCAAACAUCCCCACGAUGUCUAAACAGGGAAUGGACAUGUCACAGGAUGACAUGCAUGGAACAUGUACCGGUCGAAGCACUGAAGGAGGAAAUACUUCAAGAGGAAGUAAGAGGAAGCGAAAUGGGAAUCAAUAUGAAACGAUAGAGAUUGUUAGGAAUGCAAUGGAGUUCACAAAUGACCAAUUGAAGGCGAUUGUAGAAUGACCGAAAGAGAAGCGUGCAACUAAAGCCGAACUACGUGCAGUCGUAAACCAACUUCAAGAUAUUCCUGAAUUGUAUAACCGACAAAAGGUAAAGCUUAUGCAAAUCAUAUUCCGCAACGUGCAAGAUACAGAUCUUCAUAUCCGUUCCCUGAAGUUGGAUUAUUGCAACCUCCUCCUUGAAGAGAAUUUUUUAUUUGGACUGCUUUUCAAUAA